RNAcentral lists this ribosomal RNA (301 nucleotides) under uncultured bacterium. RNAcentral describes it as "partial 16S ribosomal RNA". It matches the Rfam family "Bacterial small subunit ribosomal RNA", at positions 509 to 807 of the family's 1533-position model. The record is from RNAcentral.
CAGUAGCCGCGGUAAUACGUAGGGUGCAAGCGUUAAUCGGAAUUACUGGGCGUAAAGCGUGCGCAGGCGGUUCUAUAAGACAGAUGUGAAAUCCCCGGGCUCAACCUGGGAACUGCAUUUGUGACUGUAGAGCUGGAGUGCGGCAGAGGGGGAUGGAAUUCCGCGUGUAGCAGUGAAAUGCGUAGAUAUGCGGAGGAACACCGAUGGCGAAGGCAAUCCCCUGGGCCUGCACUGACGCUCAUGCACGAAAGCGUGGGGAGCAAACAGGAUUAGAUACCCCGGUAGUCCCUGUCUCUUAUAC